AAAUUUUGCCGUUUUUGUUAUCUUGAAUACUAUUAUAGAUAGCGAUAAACUGUAAACAGCAAUAAUGUUCAGCAAAGUAAGAUCUACAAAUAAGUCAACAUGACCUUUAUGGUCAAUUGACCCCUUUUAGGAGUUAUUGCCCUUUAUAGUCAAUUUUUAACAAUUUUCAUUAUUUGGUAAAUUUAUGUAAAUUUUUACCAAAUAUAGUUCUCUGUUACUAAUGGGCC
RNAcentral lists this long non-coding RNA (227 nucleotides) under Mytilus galloprovincialis (Mediterranean mussel). The record is from RNAcentral. Lineage: Eukaryota; Metazoa; Mollusca; Bivalvia; Mytilida; Mytilidae.